GCGGAUGUGGUGAAAUUGGUAGACACGCUGGUCUUAGAAGCCAGUGCCUUUGGUGUGAGAGUUCGAGUCUCUCCGUCCGCA
This 81-nucleotide transfer RNA is filed under the name Silvanigrella aquatica. It matches the Rfam family "tRNA". Rfam says of the family: Transfer RNA (tRNA) molecules are approximately 80 nucleotides in length. Their secondary structure includes four short double-helical elements and three loops (D, anti-codon, and T loops). Lineage: Bacteria; Pseudomonadati; Bdellovibrionota; Oligoflexia; Silvanigrellales; Silvanigrellaceae. The record is from Rfam by way of RNAcentral.